AGUCGAGCGCACCUUCGGGUGAGCGGCGGACGGGUUAGUAACGCGUGGGAACAUACCCUUUGGUACGGAAUAGCCUCUGGAAACGGAGAGUAAUACCGUAUGAGCCCUUCGGGGGAAAGAUUUAUCGCCAAAGGAUUGGCCCGCGUUAGAUUAGGUAGUUGGUGGGGUAAUGGCCUACCAAGCCUACGAUCUAUAGCUGGUUUUAGAGGAUGAUCAGCAACACUGGGACUGAGACACGGCCCAGACUCCUACGGGAGGCAGCAGUGGGGAAUCUUGGACAAUGGGGGCAACCCUGAUCCAGCCAUGCCGCGUGAGUGAUGAAGGCCUUAGGGUCGUAAAGCUCUUUCGCCUGUGAAGAUAAUGACGGUAGCAGGUAAAGAAACCCCGGCUAACUCCGUGCCAGCAGCCGCGGUAAUACGGAGGGGGUUAGCGUUGUUCGGAAUUACUGGGCGUAAAGCGCACGUAGGCGGACUGGAAAGUUGGGGGUGAAAUCCCAGGGCUCAACCCUGGAACUGCCUCCAAAACUAUCAGUCUAGAGUUCGAGAGAGGUGAGUGGAAUUCCGAGUGUAGAGGUGAAAUUCGUAGAUAUUCGGAGGAACACCAGUGGCGAAGGCGGCUCACUGGCUCGAUACUGACGCUGAGGUGCGAAAGUGUGGGGAGCAAACAGGAUUAGAUACCCUGGUAGUCCACACCGUAAACGAUGAAUGCCAGUCGUCGGGUAGCAUGCUAUUCGGUGACACACCUAACGGAUUAAGCAUUCCGCCUGGGGAGUACGGUCGCAAGAUUAAAACUCAAGGAAUUGAC
RNAcentral lists this ribosomal RNA (804 nucleotides) under Ruegeria sp. Rg316. RNAcentral describes it as "bacterial SSU rRNA". It matches the Rfam family "Bacterial small subunit ribosomal RNA", at positions 60 to 914 of the family's 1533-position model. Lineage: Bacteria; Pseudomonadati; Pseudomonadota; Alphaproteobacteria; Rhodobacterales; Roseobacteraceae. The record is from RNAcentral.